AAGAAAGCGUAAUAGCUCACGUGGUCGAGUCGGCCUGCGCGGAAGAUGUAACGGGGCUAAACCAUGCACCGAAGCUGCGGCAGCGACGCUUAUGCGUUGUUGGGUAGGGGAGCGUUCUGUAAGCCUGUGAAGGUGUGUCGUGAGGCAUGCUGGAGGUAUCAGAAGUGCGAAUGCUGACAUAAGUAACGAUAAAGCGGGUGAAAAGCCCGCUCGCCGGAAGACCAAGGGUUCCUGUCCAACGUUAAUCGGGGCAGGGUGAGUCGACCCCUAAGGCGAGGCCGAAAGGCGUAGUCGAUGGGAAACGGGUUAAUAUUCCCGUACUUGGUGUUACUGCGAAGGGGGGACGGAGAAGGCUAUGUUGGCCGGGCGACGGUUGUCCCGGUUUAAGCGUGUAGGUGUGUGUUCCAGGUAAAUCCGGUUCACUUUAACACUGAGGCGUGAUGACGAGGCACUACGGUGCUGAAGUAACAAAUGCCCUGCUUCCAGGAAAAGCCUCUAAGCAUCAGGUAACAUCAAAUCGUACCCCAAACCGACACAGGUGGUCAGGUAGAGAAUACCAAGGCGCUUGAGAGAACUCGGGUGAAGGAACUAGGCAAAAUGGUGCCGUAACUUCGGGAGAAGGCACGCUGACACGUAGGUGAAGUGAUUUACUCACGGAGCUGAAGUCAGUCGAAGAUACCAGCUGGCUGCAACUGUUUAUUAAAAACACAGCACUGUGCAAACACGAAAGUGGACGUAUACGGUGUGACGCCUGCCCGGUGCCGGAAGGUUAAUUGAUGGGGUCAGCGCAAGCGAAGCUCCUGAUCGAAGCCCCGGUAAACGGCGGCCGUAACUAUAACGGUCCUAAGGUAGCGAAAUUCCUUGUCGGGUAAGUUCCGACCUGCACGAAUGGCGUAAUGAUGGCCAGGCUGUCUCCACCCGAGACUCAGUGAAAUUGAACUCGCUGUGAAGAUGCAGUGUACCCGCGGCAAGACGGAAAGACCCCGUGAACCUUUACUAUAGCUUGACACUGAACAUUGAGCCUUGAUGUGUAGGAUAGGUGGGAGGCUUUGAAGUGUGGACGCCAGUCUGCAUGGAGCCGACCUUGAAAUACCACCCUUUAAUGUUUGAUGUUCUAACGUGGACCCGUUACCCGGGUUGCGGACAGUGUCUGGUGGGUAGUUUGACUGGGGCGGUCUCCUCCUAAAGAGUAACGGAGGAGCACGAAGGUUGGCUAAUCCUGGUCGGACAUCAGGAGGUUAGUGCAAUGGCAUAAGCCAGCUUGACUGCGAGCGUGACGGCGCGAGCAGGUGCGAAAGCAGGUCAUAGUGAUCCGGUGGUUCUGAAUGGAAGGGCCAUCGCUCAACGGAUAAAAGGUACUCCGGGGAUAACAGGCUGAUACCGCCCAAGAGUUCAUAUCGACGGCGGUGUUUGGCACCUCGAUGUCGGCUCAUCACAUCCUGGGGCUGAAGUAGGUCCCAAGGGUAUGGCUGUUCGCCAUUUAAAGUGGUACGCGAGCUGGGUUUAGAACGUCGUGAGACAGUUCGGUCCCUAUCUGCCGUGGGCGCUGGAGAACUGAGGGGGGCUGCUCCUAGUACGAGAGGACCGGAGUGGACGCAUCACUGGUGUUCGGGUUGUCAUGCCAAUGGCACUGCCCGGUAGCUAAAUGCGGAAGAGAUAAGUGCUGAAAGCAUCUAAGCACGAAACUUGCCCCGAGAUGAGUUCUCCCUGAGACUUUAGGUCUCCUGAAGGAACGUUGAAGACGACGACGUUGAUAGGCCGGGUGUGUAAGCGCAGCGAUGCGUUGAGCUAACCGGUACUAAUGAACCGUGAGGCUUAACCUUACAACGCCGAAG
This 1835-nucleotide ribosomal RNA is filed under the name Salmonella enterica subsp. enterica serovar Berta str. SA20103550. Its description in RNAcentral is "bacterial LSU rRNA". It matches the Rfam family "Bacterial large subunit ribosomal RNA", at positions 1126 to 2925 of the family's 2925-position model. Lineage: Bacteria; Pseudomonadati; Pseudomonadota; Gammaproteobacteria; Enterobacterales; Enterobacteriaceae. The record is from RNAcentral.